Molecule: non-coding RNA, 413 nt
Organism: Arachis ipaensis
Lineage: Eukaryota; Viridiplantae; Streptophyta; Magnoliopsida; Fabales; Fabaceae
Source: RefSeq, a predicted model, not a curated record
GUGAUGCUGGCUCCCAAGGGCGGUUCUGUGGCUGUCGGAACCACCGCUGAGGCUUCUGUUCUUUGGUUCAGACGGUAUUCUUUAGUUACAGAUUAAGUUAUCGGAGCCAUAUGUUGCGCGUAAGGGUUGUCUUUGCUGCUGCAAAAGUGAACAAAGCUGUGAUGUAAGCUGCCGGUAAACUCGGGUUGAUUGAGAGUUCCGGUGACGCGUUUGAAUUAUGGAUAUGCGUUUUGAGGAUAUGGAUGCAGAAGUCACAAAGAGUUUAUUUAAUUGUUGUGGAAAUGCUCUGUGUUGCUUUAGAUUAUUAUUUAUUGUAUCCUCACCUUCAACUUGAUAUAUUUUGUAAGAGGGAUAGGGAUUGUAUUGGUUAAUGUCUGUAAUAUUAUUUAUAUAUAUGUAUGUAUAUAUAUGGA